Fukomys damarensis (Damara mole-rat) is the source of this 407-nucleotide long non-coding RNA. RefSeq lists it as uncharacterized. Lineage: Eukaryota; Metazoa; Chordata; Mammalia; Rodentia; Bathyergidae. The transcript has 3 exons. The record is from RefSeq and is a predicted model, not a curated record.
GGCAGUGUCUGAGCCGCUGGGAGCCGUGGACCACCCAGAAGCGGCGGGACCGAGCACACGCGGACACCGAGGCCGGGACAGCACGGACCAUGGCGCAGAAGCGGAUUAGUAAGGAAUUUAGUGAUUUGGCCCGUGACCCUCCAGCAGUGUUCUGCGGGCCUAGUUGGGGAUGACGUGUUCCAUUGGCAAGCCGCAAUUAUGGGACCCAGUGACAGCCCAUAUCAAGAAAUAAAGAUGGCUAAAGAAAGGAGAGAGGCCACUUGGUGCUCCCUGAGUUCCUGGAAGAUUUCUGCUUGUCUUCUGAUGCCUACCUCUGCUUCAUGCCACCCUGAGAGACAGGUAUUUUUUCCACCUUGCAAAUGAGAAAAUCAAGAUGUUAAGAGAUGAAGUUACUGGCCCAGUCAUCC